This 468-nucleotide ribosomal RNA is filed under the name uncultured bacterium. RNAcentral describes it as "partial 16S ribosomal RNA". It matches the Rfam family "Bacterial small subunit ribosomal RNA", at positions 28 to 507 of the family's 1533-position model. The record is from RNAcentral.
GACGAACGCUGGCGGCGUGCUUAACACAUGCAAGUCGAACGGAAAGGCCCUGCUUUUGUGGGGUGCUCGAGUGGCGAACGGGUGAGUAACACGUGAGUAACCUGCCCUUGACUUUGGGAGAACUUCAGGAAACUGGGGCUAAUACCGGAUAGGAGCUCCUGCUGCAUGGUGGGGGUUGGAAAGUUUCGGCGGUUGGGGAUGGACUCGCGGCUUAUCAGCUUGUUGGUGGGGUAGUGGCUUACCAAGGCUUUGACGGGUAGCCGGCCUGAGAGGGUGACCGGCCACAUUGGGACUGAGAUACGGCCCAGACUCCUACGGGAGGCAGCAGUGGGGAAUAUUGCACAAUGGGCGGAAGCCUGAUGCAGCAACGCCGCGUGCGGGAUGACGGCCUUCGGGUUGUAAACCGCUUUCGCCGGUGACGAAGCGUGAGUGACGGUAAUGGGUAAAGAAGCACCGGCUAACUACGUG